Long non-coding RNA from Astyanax mexicanus (Mexican tetra), 1700 nucleotides. RefSeq lists it as uncharacterized. NCBI's taxonomy places the organism in Eukaryota, Metazoa, Chordata, Actinopteri, Characiformes, Acestrorhamphidae. The record is from RefSeq and is a predicted model, not a curated record. The transcript has 3 exons.
GGCAAGGUUUGGUUCUUUUCGAUCCUUCCAUUCUCUCAUCAGAUUCACAUGAUAUGUUUGUGUUUUCUUUCCCUUCUCAGGAUGAAGCACUUCAUAGGUCACAGGUCCUUGCUUCUUCAGGACCUCAAAUGGACCUUGCCAUUUUGCCAGAAGCUUGUUGGAAGAGGUAGGAAGCAGCAACAGAAUCUUCUGACCAGGUUUGAAUUCACGCAGACGAGCUUUCUGGUCAUACCAUGUUUUCUGUUUUUGCUGAGCUUUCUCAAGGUGAAGACGGGCCUGCUCUCUAUAGGACUCCAGGCGAUCUCUCAUCUGCAAGACAAAGUCAACAAUGCCCCUCUCUUUACCAUCUUCUGUCUGGUUCUCCCACUGGUGGCGCAAGAGGUCAAGAGGUCCCUGGACAGACCACCCAUACAGGAGCUCGAAUGGCGAGAACCCAGUUGAAGCUUGAGGGUCUGAUUGAACCGUUCAACAAGGCCAUCAGUUUGAGCGUGGUAGGGUGAUGUGCGAAUUCCGGUGAUUCCCAGAUGCUGGUGGAAUUGGGACAUAAGUCGAGAGGUAAAGUUUGUGCCUUGGUCAGUGAGGAUUUCGUCAGGAAACCCCACCCUGGAGAAGAAUUGCACUAGUGCAGAGAUUACCUUGGGGGUGGUGAUAGAGCGCAGAGGAAAAGCCUCAGGAAAUCUGGUGGAGUAAUCACACACAACUAAGAUGUACCUAAAGCCAGAACUACUCUUUUCAAGAGGACCUACGAUAUCCAUGGCUACACGUCUGAAAGGUGUGGCAAUAAUGGGCAUAGGCUGCAGAGGUGCUCUGUCAGUAUGUCGAAUGUGGCUGGUUUUUUGACAUUCAGGGCAUGAACUACAGUAUUUCUGGACGUCAGAAUACAUAGAAGGCCAGUAGAAGCGACGGCUAAUCCUAAGGUAAAUGACCCAGUGCUAUCAUCCUGUCCUACUUGGGCAUACAAGGGAGCAAGGGAAGGGUCCUCUCUCUGAAGAGUGUCUAUGUUUGUGGGGACCUGCCACUGACCAGUAUUAAGGUGUGUGGUGUUUGGUAGAUGUGUGGGUGAUCCUAAAGCUUUCUCAAGACGACGUUUCUGACGUGACUUUUUUGGGCCCUCCUUCCCACCCUCAAACAGGCUAUCAGACACAGAAGGAAGUGGCUCAAUACCAACUCUGGUUUGGGAACGUGUUAACACUGGGCAGGAGACAUUAACAGGGGACUGGGCUUCUUCUAACAAUUCAGCCAAGACAGGCAAGUCCCUGCCAAUCACCAUGUCUUUGGGCAAGUCAUUAACCACUCCCACCCGCAAAAGAAACACAUUCUCAGAAACCUCAAGAGUUACAUCAGCUGUAGGAUAACAUUUUACAUCACCAUGUACACAUUGUAUUUUGGUCAACACAGAAUGGUCAAUCAGACUAGGUGGCAAAAAAUCCCCCUUUACCAAGGUCACAGCACUCCCAGUAUCCAACAUAGCUUGUAAAGGUUGACCAUUAACCACUACAGAAAUGUCAGUAGAAUUUCCCAAACUGCUGGAAACAAAAUCUCUAGGCUCAGUUAUUACUGCUUCCCCUCUGUCUGAUAAGAAAAUGUCCCCCUCUCUUGGCACAUAACAGUAGCUUGACAGUUUAGGUCUUUUAAGAGGACAUACAGAUGCCUUAUGUCCUUGCUGCCGACAAUAAAAACAAAUCAAGGUACCUUUUGUU